GAUGAACGCUGGCGGCGUGCCUAACACAUGCAAGUCGAGCGAACAGAUGACUUCCUUGCUCCUCUGAUGGUAGCGGCGGACGGAUGAGUAACACAUGCUUAACCUACCUCUAAGACUAGGAUAACAACGGGAAACUAAUGCUAGUACUGGAUAAUAUAUUUAACGGCAUGGUUCAGUAGUCAAAGGCGGUUUUGCUGUCACUUAUAGCUGAUUCCGCGCCGCAUUAGCUAGUUGGUAAGGUAACGGCUUACCAAGGCAACGAUGCGUAGCCGACCUGAGAGGGGGAUCGCCGACCUGGGAACGCGAACACGGACACGAGGCCUGCGGGAGGGAGCAGUAGCGAAUCGGACGCAAUGGUGGGAAGCAUGACGGAGAAAGGGCGCGUGAGAGGUGAAGAUGUUGGGAGCGGAAAACUGUGUUAUGAGGGAAGAACAAAUGUGAAUGUGGACAAGGAGGGAUUGACGGUACCUACAGAGAAAGGAACGGCUAACUACGUG
RNAcentral lists this ribosomal RNA (497 nucleotides) under uncultured bacterium. RNAcentral's name for it is "partial 16S ribosomal RNA". It matches the Rfam family "Bacterial small subunit ribosomal RNA", at positions 28 to 507 of the family's 1533-position model. The record is from RNAcentral.